GUGGGGAAUAUUGGACAAUGGGCGAAAGCCUGAUCCAGCCAUGCCGCGUGUGUGAAGAAGGUCUUCGGAUUGUAAAGCACUUUAAGUUGGGAGGAAGGGCAGUAAGUUAAUACCUUGCUGUUUUGACGUUACCGACAGAAUAAGCACCGGCUAACUUCGUGCCAGCAGCCGCGGUAAUACGAAGGGUGCAAGCGUUAAUCGAAAUUACUGGGCGUAAAGCGCGCGUAGGUGGUUUUGUAAGUUGGAGGUGAAAUCCCCGGGCUCAACCUGGGAACUGCCUCCAAAACUGCAUGACUAGAGUACGGUAGAGGGUAGUGGAAUUUCCUGUGUAGCGGUGAAAUGCGUAGAUAUAGGAAGGAACACCAGUGGCGAAGGCGACUACCUGGACUGAUACUGACACUGAGGUGCGAAAGCGUGGGGAGCAAACAGGAUUAGAUACCCGGGUAGUCC
RNAcentral lists this ribosomal RNA (450 nucleotides) under uncultured bacterium. RNAcentral describes it as "partial 16S ribosomal RNA". It matches the Rfam family "Bacterial small subunit ribosomal RNA", at positions 354 to 796 of the family's 1533-position model. The record is from RNAcentral.